AGCCAGGUAGAGCAGAGGUCAGCUCAUCGGGCUCAUAUCCCGAAGGUCAUAGGUUCGAAUCCUAUCUUGGCUU
Molecule: transfer RNA, 73 nt
Filed under: Flavobacteriales bacterium
Lineage: Bacteria; Pseudomonadati; Bacteroidota; Flavobacteriia; Flavobacteriales
Description: tRNA-Met
Rfam family: tRNA
About the family: Transfer RNA (tRNA) molecules are approximately 80 nucleotides in length. Their secondary structure includes four short double-helical elements and three loops (D, anti-codon, and T loops). Further hydrogen bonds mediate the characteristic L-shaped molecular structure. tRNAs have two regions of fundamental functional importance: the anti-codon, which is responsible for specific mRNA codon recognition, and the 3' end, to which the tRNAs corresponding amino acid is attached (by aminoacyl-tRNA synthetases). tRNAs cope with the degeneracy of the genetic code in two manners: having more than one tRNA (with a specific anti-codon) for a particular amino acid; and 'wobble' base-pairing, i.e. permitting non-standard base-pairing at the 3rd anti-codon position.
Source: RNAcentral